AACCAUAGAAACCUGCGGAGUACCUGCGGAAGGAUCAUUACAGAGUUAUCCAACUCCCAAACCCAUGUGAACUUAUCUCUUUGUUGCCUCGGCGCAAGCUACCCGGGACCCAGCGCCCCGGGCGGCCCGCCGGCGGACAAACCAAAACUCUUGUUAUCUUAGUUGAUUAUCUGAGCGUCUUAUUUAAUAAGUCAAAACUUUCAGCAACGGAUCU
RNAcentral lists this unclassified non-coding RNA (214 nucleotides) under soil metagenome. RNAcentral describes it as "partial contains 5.8S ribosomal RNA, internal transcribed spacer 2, and large subunit ribosomal RNA". The record is from RNAcentral.